This 58-nucleotide microRNA precursor is filed under the name Vicugna pacos (alpaca). Its description in RNAcentral is "miRNA (ENSVPAG00000017599.1)". The record is from RNAcentral. Lineage: Eukaryota; Metazoa; Chordata; Mammalia; Artiodactyla; Camelidae.
GUGUUCCGCUCUGGCCGCCUGGAAAGGAGUUUUAAGGGCUGGGCCGGUCGGCGUCCGG